Molecule: ribosomal RNA, 484 nt
Filed under: uncultured bacterium
Lineage: Bacteria
Description: partial 16S ribosomal RNA
Rfam family: Bacterial small subunit ribosomal RNA
Source: RNAcentral
UGGGGAAUAUUGCACAAUGGGCGCAAGCCUGAUGCAGCCAUGCCGCGUGUGUGAAGAAGGCCUUCGGGUUGUAAAGCACUUUCAGCGAGGAGGAAGGUGGUGAACUUAAUACGUUCAUCAAUUGACGUUACUCGCAGAAGAAGCACCGGCUAACUCCGUGCCAGCAGCCGCGGUAAUACGGAGGGUGCAAGCGUUAAUCGGAAUUACUGGGCGUAAAGCGCACGCAGGCGGUUUGUUAAGUCAGAUGUGAAAUCCCCGGGCUCAACCUGGGAACUGCAUUUGAAACUGGCAAGCUAGAGUCUCGUAGAGGGGGGUAGAAUUCCAGGUGUAGCGGUGAAAUGCGUAGAGAUCUGGAGGAAUACCGGUGGCGAAGGCGGCCCCCUGGACGAAGACUGACGCUCAGGUGCGAAAAGCGUGGGGAGCAAACAGGAUUAGAUACCAUGGUAGUCCAGCGCUGUAAACGAUGUCGAUUUUGGAGGUUGUG